Medicago truncatula (barrel medic) is the source of this 1740-nucleotide RNA transcript. It is a transcript of the gene named flap endonuclease 1, with no coding region annotated. The record is from RefSeq and is a predicted model, not a curated record. Lineage: Eukaryota; Viridiplantae; Streptophyta; Magnoliopsida; Fabales; Fabaceae. The transcript has 19 exons.
UAGAUAUAGCGGGCUAUCAAUCGGCCCCUUACGAAAACAGCUUUACAGGAGAGUGCGCGGGAAGCAGUUGCUUUUCUCGCUCCUUAUCAAUUUUUCUGCCGUCACACCCAAAUUCACAUCAUCCUCUUCAAAUUCUCAUUCAUACAACGAUGGGUAUUAAGGGUUUAACGAAGCUUUUAGCUGAUAAUGCUCCCAAAUCAAUGAAGGAGAACAAAUUCGAAUCUUACUUUGGGCGUAAGAUUGCUGUUGAUGCUAGUAUGAGCAUUUACCAGUUUCUUAUUGUUGUGGGGAGAAGUGGAACUGAAAUGUUGACUAAUGAAGCUGGUGAAGUAACUAGUCAUUUGCAAGGAAUGUUUGCGCGGACAAUCAGACUUCUAGAAGCCGGGAUGAAGCCAGUAUAUGUUUUUGAUGGGAAGCCACCGGAGAUGAAGAAUCAAGAGCUGAAAAAACGUCUCUCAAAGAGAGCUGAGGCUACCGCGGGUUUGACAGAAGCUCUAGAGGCUGACAAUAAGGAAGAUAUUGAAAAAUUCAGUAAACGGACAGUGAAGGUGACAAAGCAACAUAAUGACGACUGCAAAAGACUUUUGAGACUCAUGGGAGUGCCCGUUGUUGAGGCACCCUCAGAAGCAGAGGCUCAGUGUGCUGCACUUUGCAAAGCUGGAAAGGUGUAUGCUGUGGCUUCUGAAGACAUGGAUUCCUUAACGUUUGGAGCUCCUAAGUUUCUUCGCCAUCUAAUGGAUCCUAGUUCAAAGAAGAUUCCAGUAAUGGAAUUUGACGUUGCAAAGAUUUUGGAGGAGCUAGAUUUGACCAUGGACCAAUUUAUUGACUUAUGUAUACUUUCUGGAUGUGAUUACUGUGACAACAUUCGAGGUAUUGGGGGGAUGACAGCUCUGAAGCUCAUACGCCAACACGGCUCUAUUGAAAAAAUACUGGAAAACAUAAGCAAAGAGAGGUACCAGGUACCAGAUGAUUGGCCAUAUCAGGAGGCUCGACGACUUUUUAAAGAGCCAGAGGUCUCAACUGAUGAUGAAGUACUUAAUCUUAAGUGGUCUCCUCCAGAUGAAGAAGGGUUAAUAACAUUUCUAGUAAAUGAGAAUGGGUUCAACAGUGAUAGGGUGACAAAGGCAAUAGAAAAAAUUAAAGCGGCAAAGAACAAGUCAUCACAAGGCCGAUUGGAAUCAUUUUUUAAGCCAACUGCGAAUCCAUCUGUACCUAUCAAACGGAAGGAAAGCAAAUGCGUGCUUAGAUCUUUCAAACCAGCAACUGAUCAUAAGAUGUCCUCUCUGCGAAUUUCUAACCAGUCAAGGUCCAUGGUUUUUGGCCAGUUGAGCAUGCCGAUCUAUGGUCUGUAUUCCAAGCUUUCCGUGCCAUUAUCCAGAAAUGUCUGCUUUGGUGCCUGAAGCUGAAUAGACCUGGAAACUCCAGUGAAUGAUGCUAAAGCUAAAGGGAGUAACAAGAAAACUAAGGUGGGUGGCGGUAAGAAGAAAAAAUAGUUGGCUUUGUAUCUUUGGAUGCCCAGAGUCAUUUACAUGUUGACCAGUUGGCAUGAAGGAGGGUCCAAUUCGUAAUACUCAUGCUCAAUCUUCCAAAUUGUAUAAUAUUUGUGUGACUAAUUUAACUAAUUUAAGUUAGAUAAUUAUGGUAUUUAACAAUUUGAGAUACAAUAAUUCAUUUGGUAGAGAACUAGAGAUGCUCUUAAUCUUUUCUUUUGAGUUAAUUUGAAUUGGUAGUUUUUCUCUA